Molecule: long non-coding RNA, 233 nt
Organism: Telopea speciosissima
Lineage: Eukaryota; Viridiplantae; Streptophyta; Magnoliopsida; Proteales; Proteaceae
Exons: 3
Source: RefSeq, a predicted model, not a curated record
CAAUUUGACUGGGGCCAGGAAAGUUUUAUUUGUAGAGGCUAAACUAAAAGGCACAGCUCGAGUUUGGUGGAUCAAGCAACAACAACAAAAUCGGACCUGUGGCAUUGGUUUAGUUACUACUUAGGCUGAAAUGCAUGAAGUCAUGAACAAAAUAUUCUUGCCUAUUGACUACAAGCAAUGCAUGCACCUCAGGUUUGCACAGUUGAAACAGGAGAAUUGAUCCUGGAAGAAUA